Molecule: small RNA, 76 nt
Filed under: Pedobacter alluvionis
Lineage: Bacteria; Pseudomonadati; Bacteroidota; Sphingobacteriia; Sphingobacteriales; Sphingobacteriaceae
Description: Flavo-1 RNA
Source: RNAcentral
CGAUAGCUAUCGGAUGUAAUGGAAAGCCCGUAAGCGAGGAACGAGUGCGGACUUGGAAUGGAAAGCGGGACUGAAG